ACUCCUACGGGAGGCAGCAGUGGGAAUAUUGGACAAUGGGCGCAAGCCUGAUCCAGCCAUGCCGCGUGAGUGAAGAAGGCCUUAGGGUUGUAAAGCUCUUUCAGCAGGGAAGAUAAUGACGGUACCUGCAGAAGAAGCCCCGCGUACAUCCGUGCCAGCAGCCGCGGUAAUACGGAGGGGCGUAGCGUUGUUCGGAAUUACUGGGCGUAAAGCGCGCGUA
RNAcentral lists this ribosomal RNA (220 nucleotides) under uncultured bacterium. RNAcentral describes it as "partial 16S ribosomal RNA". It matches the Rfam family "Bacterial small subunit ribosomal RNA", at positions 335 to 573 of the family's 1533-position model. The record is from RNAcentral.